UGGGGAAUAUUGGACAAUGGGCGAAAGCCUGAUCCAACCAUGCCGCGUGUGUGAAGAAGGUCUUCGGAUUGUAAAGCACUUUAAGUUGGGAGGAAGGGCAUUAACCUAAUACGUUAGUGUUUUGACGUUACCGACAGAAUAAGCACCGGCUAACUCUGUGCCAGCAGCCGCGGUAAUACAGAGGGUGCAAGCGUUAAUCGGAAUUACUGGGCGUAAAGCGCGCGUAGGUGGUAUGUUAAGUUGGAUGUGAAAUCCCCGGGCUCAACCUGGGAACUGCAUUCAAAACUGACUGACUAGAGUAUGGUAGAGGGUGGUGGAAUUUCCUGUGUAGCGGUGAAAUGCGUAGAUAUAGGAAGGAACACCAGUGGCGAAGGCGACCACCUGGACUAAUACUGACACUGAGGUGCGAAAGCGUGGGGAGCAAACA
Molecule: ribosomal RNA, 427 nt
Filed under: uncultured bacterium
Lineage: Bacteria
Description: partial 16S ribosomal RNA
Rfam family: Bacterial small subunit ribosomal RNA
Source: RNAcentral